UCUACAGAGUUAAGAUUCUAAAUAUAAAUUUCAGAAUUCAAAUUUGAAUUUUCAAAAUGAAUUUCAACAAGUUGUUCUUCUUUGCUUGUGUCUGCGUCAUGGCUUUGACUACAGUAUUUGCUGCGCCGAAUCCGAGGUGGAACCCUUUUAAGAAACUGGAGAGAGUGGGACAGAACAUCCGUGACGGUAUAAUCAAGGCAGGACCAGCCGUGCAGGUGGUGGGACAAGCUGCCACCAUCUACAAGGGGGGGAAAUAACCACCACAUCCUCAUAGCAAAGUAUUACUUCUAAACUUGACUGAUUCAUUGAGAAAUUCUGCCUAAUGUAUAAUUAAAUAUAAUAAUUUAUUUUAAUUGUAAGUGAUAUUGAAUAAACAUAAAAUUUUGAGAUUUA
Long non-coding RNA from Pectinophora gossypiella (pink bollworm), 393 nucleotides. RefSeq lists it as uncharacterized. The transcript has 2 exons. Lineage: Eukaryota; Metazoa; Arthropoda; Insecta; Lepidoptera; Gelechiidae. The record is from RefSeq and is a predicted model, not a curated record.